RNAcentral lists this ribosomal RNA (619 nucleotides) under uncultured eukaryote. RNAcentral's name for it is "SSU rRNA". It matches the Rfam family "Eukaryotic small subunit ribosomal RNA", at positions 612 to 1230 of the family's 1831-position model. The record is from RNAcentral.
GUUGCGGUUAAAAAGCUCGUAGUUGGAUCUCGGCGGGCAGGGGGUGGUUCGCUCUUCAGCGCUACUGCCCCGCUUUGCCCGUGUGAUUGGCGGAGGUUUCGGGGUGCUCUUCGUUGAGUGACUCGGAGCGCCGUCAGGUUUACUUUGAAAAAAUUAGAGUGCUCAAAGCAGGCUUUUCACGCUUGAAUAUUCGCGCAUGGAAUAAUGGAAUAGGAACUCGUUUCUAUUUUGUUGGUUUUCGGAAAUCGAGUUAAUGAUUAACAGGGACAAUUGGGGGCAUUAGUAUUCAGACGACAGAGGUGAAAUUCUUGGACCGUCUGAAGACUGACUACUGCGAAAGCAUUUGCCAAGAGUGUUUUCAUUAAUCAAGAACGAAAGUUAGAGGUUCGAAGGCGAUCAGAUACCGCCCUAGUUCUAACCAUAAACGAUGCCAGCUAGCGAUCUGCCGAGUUUUUUUUGUAGGCUCCGCAGGAAGCUUUCGGGAAACCAAAGCUUUUGGGUUCCGGGGGAAGUAUGGUUGCAAAGCUGAAACUUAAAGGAAUUGACGGAAAGGCACCACCAGGAGUGGAGCCUGCGGCUUAAUUUGACUCAACACGGGAAAUCUCACCAGGCCCGGACC